RNAcentral lists this long non-coding RNA (243 nucleotides) under Monodelphis domestica (gray short-tailed opossum). Its description in RNAcentral is "lncRNA (ENSMODG00000043784.1)". The record is from RNAcentral. Lineage: Eukaryota; Metazoa; Chordata; Mammalia; Didelphimorphia; Didelphidae.
UCUGGAUGAGAUGAAGAACCCAUUUCACAGGGGAUUCAUGUGCCAUGACCUGAACCCAUGACAGAAGAACUUCUUUCGCUAAACAUGGAGUGUCUAGCUCAGUUCUUUGAACUCAGUGGGAGGCCAGUCUGAACUGACUGAAAGAGAAGAUUGAAUUAUUUUGAAGAUUCCCAUGCCAUACUAUUUGAAGAUCUUGUUCUCUGUCAGAAUAAAGGUACACAUCUCGAUGCUCUGAUACUGCUU